CAGAGUUCGUGCCCUCACGGGUAGAUCUCCCACCCUGUGUUAUUAUACCUUUGUUGCUUUGGCGGGCCGCCCUCGGCUACCGGCCCCGGCUGGUACGCGCCCGCCAGAGGACCACAACUCUGUAUUAAAUGUCGUCUGAGUACUAUAAAAUAGUUA
Molecule: unclassified non-coding RNA, 156 nt
Filed under: uncultured Dermateaceae
Lineage: Eukaryota; Fungi; Ascomycota; Leotiomycetes; Helotiales; Dermateaceae
Description: sequence contains ITS1
Source: RNAcentral